Molecule: ribosomal RNA, 301 nt
Filed under: uncultured bacterium
Lineage: Bacteria
Description: partial 16S ribosomal RNA
Rfam family: Bacterial small subunit ribosomal RNA
Source: RNAcentral
CAGUAGCCGCGGGAAUACGUAGGUGGCAAGCGUUGUCCGGAAUUAUUGGGCGUAGAGGGCUCGCAGGCGGUUUCUUAAGUCUGAUGUGAAAGCCCCCGGCUCAACCGGGGAGGGUCAUUGGAGACUGGGAAACUUGAGUGCAGAAGAGGAGAGUGGAAUUCCACGUGUAGCGGUGAAGUGCGUAGAGAUGUGGAGGAACACCAGUGGCGAAGGCGACUCUCUGGUCUGUAACUGACGCUGAGGAGCGAAAGCGUGGGGAGCGAACAGGAUUAGAUACCCCCGUAGUCCCUGUCUCUUAUAC